GUAAGAUAUUUUUCAAUUUCAAAACAUGGGACCAGCGAGGGUUAUCGAUUACCUUUUAGUAACUCGAGAGCCCCUGGUGGUGGGAUUUAGAACCACCAAUUUAAACCUAUCCUGCAGCAAACUUACUGGGAGGAUCUCAUCACUAAAACUAAUGACGAUUAGCCUCAUCAGUUCAUACGAGAACUGAAAUGUUGUUUUUGCCAAAAAAAUACAAUAGAUGACUAUUGAAAAGAGGGCGUCGCGUAGGUCUAGCAUUGUUAAGUCAUCCGAUGAUCUAGCAUUCUCAAAUCGAUCGGUGAGCAAGUUAGAUGUGACCAAACAGUUAAUAGAAAAAAGUGUAAUCUACUCCAUAGUGAUUGAAGAUCGAACGAAAGUUUGUGUAAGCAUAUAGUGUAAACCUGAAAACAGAAAUCAAUUGAACAUACAUUAUUAUUACAGUUUUUGAGAGCAUAACGUGGAAUUUUUAAAAAUCUGAAGUAGGCCCUGUUGCGAAAAGUUUUCAGUAAGACGUUGUGAGUAACCUAGAACAAUAUGUGAAGGAGUAGAAAAUUAUUGAAUUCGUUCUUAUUUUUCAACAAUUCUCGCAGAUAGAAAAACCUUUGAAAUAAGCGUAAAAACUGAAAAACUGUAGUAUCGAAUACUCCCACGAGGCACAGGACACUGCUAUCCUUCAAGCGAAGGUGCUAGUGUAGGGUGUAGGGGAUAGCGACCAGCCACGCUGUCUCUAGGGACGAGUCAGAAGCUCGGCGACUUGUAGGCUCGCCUCGUCGUCCGCGCCAGUAUUCGACCCUCGCGCACCCUGGGCCGAAGGAAUCCACGCCUUCCGGAGGAAUUCGGACGCUACUAACCGAAUAUCGCUCCAUCGGUCUCGAAGGGAGAUUCACACCACGUGAGCGCAUUGGCACCGCCCAUCACCACCCC
This is a long non-coding RNA of Aedes albopictus (Asian tiger mosquito), 921 nucleotides long. RefSeq lists it as uncharacterized. Lineage: Eukaryota; Metazoa; Arthropoda; Insecta; Diptera; Culicidae. The record is from RefSeq and is a predicted model, not a curated record. The transcript is spliced from 2 exons.